This 468-nucleotide ribosomal RNA is filed under the name uncultured bacterium. RNAcentral's name for it is "partial 16S ribosomal RNA". It matches the Rfam family "Bacterial small subunit ribosomal RNA", at positions 28 to 507 of the family's 1533-position model. The record is from RNAcentral.
GACGAACGCUGGCGGCGUGCUUAACACAUGCAAGUCGAACGGAAAGGCCCUGCUUUUGUGGGGUGCCCGAGUGGCGAACGGGUGAGUAACACGUGAGUAACCUUCCCUUGACUUUGGGAUAACUUCAGGAAACUGGGGCUAAUACCGGAUAGGAGCUCCUGCUGCAUGGUGGGGGUUGGAAAGUUUCGGCGGUUGGGGAUGGACUCGCGGCUUAUCAGCUUGUUGGUGGGGUAGUGGCUUACCAAGGCUUUGACGGGUAGCCGGCCUGAGAGGGUGACCGGACACAUUGGGACUGAGAUACGGCCCAGACUCCUACGGGAGGCAGCAGUGGGGAAUAUUGCACAAUGGGCGGAAGCCUGAUGCAGCAACGCCGCGUGCGGGAUGACGGCCUUCGGGUUGUAAACCGCUUUCGCCUGUGACGAAGCGUGAGUGACGGUAAUGGGUAAAGAAGCACCGGCUAACUACGUG